GCAUCAGUGGUGUAAUGGUAACAUUGGAGCUUCCCAGCCCUGGGUCACGUGAUUCGUGAUAAACUGCUCUAGCCUCGGGUUCGAUUCCCGGCUGAUGCA
Non-coding RNA from Schizophyllum amplum, 99 nucleotides. Lineage: Eukaryota; Fungi; Basidiomycota; Agaricomycetes; Agaricales; Schizophyllaceae. The record is from the annotation of a GenBank genome assembly.